UGCAUCUGAAGCCUGACGAGGAUGAGAACCUCCGGGGGCAAGAGGUUCGACUCGAGCUCAGCGAGAGAACGUUGCGUCAGCAACGGCCCGCAGGGCGAGCCACGCAGUGGCGAGUCAUCCUCUAUCACCGACCA
Molecule: small RNA, 134 nt
Filed under: Salmonella enterica
Lineage: Bacteria; Pseudomonadati; Pseudomonadota; Gammaproteobacteria; Enterobacterales; Enterobacteriaceae
Description: RtT sRNA
Rfam family: RtT RNA
About the family: This family represents a bacterial cis-regulatory element known as RtT RNA.
Source: RNAcentral